UUUUGGUGGUUUUGAGGAGUUAUAAACUCUUUAUUUCCAUUAAGAUACCAAAAUACCAAAAUGUGCUUGGGCACGCCUUGUCGGCACGGCGGACCUGACUUACGCCACGUCACCGGCGGGGAACAAAAAUAGAGCCCCCAGUGUUAUUUCAGUGAAACUGUGAACUUAACUAACAUUGAGGAUACAUGGGGGGCAACAGAAAAAGCUUCAGAUUAAGCCAUCACAGAGCAACACCAACAUAAAGAGUCCUUUUCUAUCACGCUGAUGAAUUUAAAUUCACUCUUCACACUCUUUUAUUUGCUAAAAAUGCUCCAGAGUGUUCACCAACUACCAUUUAACUAUGUGUGUCUGAGGUCCUGAGCAGGUAUAGUGUACGGUGAGCCUUAAAGGUGCUGUCUCUGGAUAAAGCUGCCUGCUGCAACCAAAUAUACUGAUGUGAAGAACGAGAGUAAUAGGUACAGAUGUUGGCUAAAUAAAAAAUAUUAAACAAUGCCACAAAACUCUCAAAAGGGUUUGAUUUAAAUGGCUCAAAAAGUACAGUUAUGUCAAAGUACAGUUAAAAACAUUGGGAGUUCUAGGAAAUCAAACGCCUUGUAGGGAAAUCUGCUGUUUGGGUAUUGUGAAACCUUUCAGGACUGUAAAAAGACAUUUUCAACAUGCCAAAUCAGUAUACAAUCUAGAUUCACCUUAGCUUAACCACUUUAUUGUUCUUUCACUGAUUAUUGAAGAAUGUCUCACAUACUUUCUGAAGUCCUGUAGAUGUGGGGGUUUGAUGCUUUAUGUGCAUUUUAUGAAGACAUUUUCCCUCCACCCUUGUUUCAGCUGUAGAUUAAACAGACUUAUACACCCCUAUAUCUUGUUGAUCUAAGCCUUGGACACAAUUAAGUUAGCAAGAAAGUCAUCUCUCAUUGGGUAGUGACUUUUUAAUUGCCUAUAUUUCAGUCUCUCUCCUUGGUUCUCAAGGUUGCAGUCUAAACAUGGCAUACAUUAAAUACAUUAAAGCUCCAACAAAGUUUUAAGUGCAUUGGGAAUAAACAGUACAGUAUAGAAAGUAAUAAAGAAUCAUAGAAGUGAUAAACAAAUCAAUAUAUCUUGGAUAAAUAUGAAUUUUAAAAGCUUCAGGUACUUAACUUUUAAGUGCUGCUGCCUACUAUUUAAAAGUUUAUUGCAUAUUUUGUUUAAUGAAGAAAAUCACAGAUACUCUCCCACUGCUUCUGUUUUUUAAACUCAAAUGUAAAUGUGAAACCAGCCUGUUGUCAGUUUAUGAUAUGAAAAAGUGAACUGGGAAACUUUUGUAACUGCCGUACUACCUUGUUUAGAAGAAGGCAAACAAAGAAAUGGAUUACAAUAAGAUCUAAAACAGGGCAACACAAAACUUAACCGCAUAGUAUGAGCAAUACACUUCACAUUCACAGUCUCCCCUAAUGGUUAAUUUUGAUAGAAUAAAUAGGAUACCACCAAAUAUAAUACCAUACAAAAAAAUUCAGAAUAUAAUACAUUGUGUCACAGCACAACAUGAUGAGCUGUGGUGCAGUAUACUGUACAAUAUAUUUUGAUACAACACAUCUUAUGUUUAAACUCUGUCACUCCUGUUCAAACUAGCCUCUACAAAAUGAUACAAUGAAAUAUAAUAUAGUGAUAAAAUACAACAUACAAUGCAGUUUGACACAGAACAGUACGAUACAGACAGACACAACAUGUCAAGACACAUAAUGACAAAUAAUACAAUAUGAGACGAUACGAUAAGGUAUAAUAUAAUAAGAUAGGAUUUGAUACAUUAGGAUGGGACACAAUGAUACAGUGCAAUACAAUGUAAGUUAUGUGGUAUGUAAGAUAUUAUACCUUACAUACCACACCAAUCAACACAAUACUUAACCGUUUGCUUUAACACAACAUGAUACACUUCAAAUUUUUAGACUGUCUAGCUGACCCCACAGUAGCUUGAACAUUAGUAUUCGCCUUUUUCCCCAGCUGAUUCAGAUUGCACUGUUUGUUGUAUGCAGCUGAGACUAACCUGUUAAUGUCAGUGUUUCUCCUGAACCUAUUUCAGACAGCAUUUGAAAACUUCCUGUCAAAAGUUUUUCUUUUAAACUGCCUUCAAAGUUCUUUGGUAAAACACACAUUGAUGGACUUUGAGUAAAUUGAAGGAACUCUCUUAAUGUUCAGGGACUACGCGUAUAUAGAACAACUUAACAUAUUUAAGUGUGCUGUGAGAGGCGUCGGGUGGUUCAGUUUACCGCGUGCCCCCGCUGGCCUGCAAUUGAAUCCUACCAGAGCCGCUGCUUCCCUUCUGUCUCCCCCUCUGCUGUCUCAACAAUUAAAUCAGUCAAGGUGAGCGGGCUGCCCACUCGAUUUCUUUUUGUAUAAAAAAUAAAGCAACAGAUGAAAGCAUGGGCUCAUAUAACAGUCCACUUUGUGACCCACGACGCAAAAGAGUUGUCUUAUUAUGAAACAUUUCACCUGUGUGUCAGUGGUUGCCAUGGAGAUUUUGUGCAGAAAUGCGAGGCUCUACUUAAUGGUCUGACCUUAACCUUGCACUUUCUCGGCUGUACGCUUUCAUGAUGUUACAGACACAUGGGCAUAAUUUAUACCACAAAUCAAUAUUUCAGCAGCAACAGUCUAUUCUCUCACCUUCUCCUAACACAUGAAACAUUUCUUUUAUAUUGAUCCAGCCUUCAAUAAUCAUGUGGAAACUUGUAGAAACAGAUUCAGAUAUUUAUACAAAUACAUGUAAUGUUUUUUCUUGAACUGAUUUCCAAGUCUUGUAAAGCCUUGAAGCACCAUUUACAAACGUCACCCCUCCCCCAAUCUGCAUUUCUCUCUCUGCCCUUUUUUGCCCCUCUGUCCUGCUCUCUCUCUUUCUCUCUCUGUCUCUCUCUCACACUUUCUCUCUCUCUCUCUCUCUCUCUCUCUCUCUCUCCCCUCUCCACCCCCUACCCCCUCCUACAAGCUGUGUCUCUUUCCUGUGUGCUGGGGGGCCAGCAGAGGGGAAGUACACAGUGAAGGAAAAGCAUUCUCUGAGUUCAAGUGCACAGGCUUAAAGACACAGCUGGCUUCAACAAAAGGGAAUUUGACAAGGGGAAAACAGUCGCGGAAAGGCAGAAUAAUGACCUAUUGACAAGGCAGUUGUGUACACCCAGACAGUAUAGGGAUCAUUUCACAAAAAGAGUGGGGGGAGUGUAUAAAAUUUGAACAGGAAAACGGCGAAAAAUGUCUCCUCCCCUUCUCCUCUCUCCACGUAUACUCCUCCUAUUCCCUCCCACCUUUCUUUCUUUCAAUCUCUGUCCCUCCCUCUCUCCUUUCCUUCAUUCCUACCCAGCAUGCAUGCACGCUAACACACACACAGAUACACACACGAUGACUGAUGGCUUCUCUUGCAUUCUCCGUUUUCUCAGCUCUCCAUGUAGUGUAAGGUGGAACCGGUUCAGCACAGCUCCAGCACACCAUUCAGAGGGAAAAAAAGUACUAAUCCUGUACUUUUACCCCACGCUGCUGAUAUUCUUUGUCCAUAAGGCAUGUUUUCCUUCAAAGUCCCAAGCACGGAGGGGUGAAGAGGAGAGAAAUGGUGUCUGAGGAAGAGGAGAAUGAGGCGACAGCGGAUAAAAUGUGACGAGACUGGAGUGAAAUAGAGAUGCAAGGCUGCAAGUCAAGAGGGGAGGCACCAACUCGAGAGUGAGGGAGAGGGGACAGAGGAGGAAUCAAGUUGGAAUCGAGAAAGAAACGCGGGAAAAGGUAAAAAAAAAAAAAUAGAAAGGAAGCUGAUCCCUGAAACAUUAGCUGUAAUUCUUUUAUAUGGGGUCAGUUACCUCUAGAUGUGUGAUUUAGAGAGCAAAGUAGUCACAAACACACAUGAUUGUACACUUCUCGCUGCCUGUGUGCUCUUGUUUUAGUGCUUGGCUCUGCUGUACUCUGUGUUGGUUUGUGUACCUAAAGUCAUUUUCCUUCCUCCCACUCCCGCUGGAACAUUUUCCCAUGUCUCCAUUCUUCUCCCAAAACCCCUGCAAUGUCUUUUAUGUACUGUAUUUCCUUGACGGGAUAUUUAAGUUUUCUAAAAAUGAAAAAUUAACUCCUGCUUAAAAUCCUUGUUCAGAGUUGGUCAAAAACUCAGGCUUGUUUUGGGGCCCAGUUGUGAGGGCGAAGGGAAAUGAAGAACAGGGUCAGGGUACACACUUUCCUACCUAUACUAUAUUGGAAACGCGGUUAUGAAUUUAAUGAGUACUGAGGUCUUAGUUGGAGAGUGAAUUCCUGGGUUUGAAGAUUCAGCUGUUAUGAAAGUGUUAAAAAGAUGACACAAAGUAUUUGAAAUAUUUGCCCAUCAUCCUCCCUGCUCUGGAAUUGACACGUCCCACCCUCUUCUUCCCCUCACUGUGUGUCUGUGCUCUCAGUUUGUGUCCCUGUUACACUAUACAUAACCAAAGCUCAUAUUUGUCUCUCUGCAUCCACUAACGCCCAACCUACUGCUCCUGGUAGUCUUUAUACCUCAGCCCUGCUGCCCUGUUUGCUCUCAGCCUCGCUUCCAUUGUUACUAUUGACAAGUUACUGUUGUCCCACGCAUGUGCGCUGAAGGACCUGUGAUCCAUCCUCAUUCUGUCCCUGCUCUUCACAAGCCUGUCCAUCUCCAUGGAGAUCCGAUACCGGCUCCCAGUAACUGAACCCCUGACAUGCAAACAAACUCAUGAAGAUUUCCUAGUUUCCUCCCUGAUGGGGUGCACCAAUGAGUAAAGAGCAAACAUUGUGAAGAGGUGACUGUGCAGAUGUUCUCCUUGAUGGUCACGUUUUUGAAUUUCUUGACAUGAUGCAGCUGAGGAAAAUUAUCUUUGCAGAUAUCUUUUUUGGUUACGAGUGUUUUGGUGGCAAACACAGUCAAAUACAAUGUGUUUUUGGCCUUGUGCAUGAGCAUAAAUUUGAUCUAUAUUUUGGACAAAGAGUUGCCUGAUCUCGGUGAUGGAGUCCCUUUGAUAAUUGAAGUUUAAUACAAUGAACUCAUUCAGUUUAAACUCCAAGAGGAGCUCUUUUGCCUUAGCCUCAAUCAAAAAGUUUUAAUUCAAAAGUGAACAAAGUGUGAGAACCUAAAGAAAUCAAAUUACAAAAUCUGCUCAUUUUAUUAUCAAAAUUGUUCUGGGUAAAUAGGUAACAAACGGAGAGUUUGCAUUGCACCAAUAGUUAGUUGGUCUAUUUCCCUGAUGAGUUUAAAUGCUAAUCAUGUUUUAUUAACAAAUCGGUAAAGUUUCAGAGCAAAGUUGCAGCAGGAGCCAUUUUCAGAGUCCAAGUUGAUUUGAUUUGGAUGCUUGAAUUUCUUAUGUUCAAGCCUAAAAUAUUCAAUUCACUGUCCUAGAAACUUGAGUAAACCAGGAGAAACUCAUAUUAGAGAUAUGGAAAUAUGUGAUAUGACUGCGAACUAUACUGAAUGUUCUUUCAACGCCUUAAUCAGUUUUGUUAUCGAGCCAAGGAGGCACCAUACCAUUCUUUCUUUUUCCUCUUUCAUAAAGACUCCAUCUAAGAUGCUCAUCAAAGUCAGCACGCCUCUCUGUAUGCUGUGGCUCAAUGACACUUGAACAAUAGCAGGCUUUGUUUUGGUAUCAAACCACUUCUUUCAACUUUAACAGAUUUUAGUUUUAAUCUUUCAAAGCCCAUUGUUAUACUGCUACAUGCUCUGAUACCUGCGGAGGAAAUAGUCUGCCUGUUGCCUCCACAUAGGUUUUCCCCGUAUUUAUUUGAUUAAACCAUUGAAAGAAAAAAAAUAUUAAUUAUAACAAUACGACUAAAAUUCCAAUGCCCUGUUUGUGCACGUUCCGCUCCAUAAAUAUUGAUCUUAUUAUCUCCUUUUGAUUAAACAUUUAAUUCUUGCAAAAGAUAAAAAGAGAAGGAAACCUUUAAUAAGUGAGAGCCUCUUGCUGCUGUCGUGUCAGGCUAUCAUAUCAUGAUGUUUAAAGCAGAGGAGCAAUCGAGGCAUUCAGUGCAUCUCUAAAGCGAUGUUUCUUUAUAACUUCACUGAAUACUUGAGCAGAAAUAAUGGAUUACUGCGGCUCAUUGUAGUGACAAUGAAUGUGUAAGUUAUAUAAAAGCUCCUCAACCUGAGGCCGUCACAAAUGAUCUAAACAUAAGAGCUCAGAGGAAGCCUUUCAUAUGUCUCACUUUAUAAAACAUAGCUCAGCCUUCGCUAUCAAUUAUGUUGCUCCAGCAUGAAAGAGAUGGCAAAAAGGGCCACACACAACAGGCGUCGUGGAGAGACAUCGCUGCACCAUGUGACUGCUGUGGAUGGACUGAUGCUCUCUCACGGCUGCAUCAGUGUUAGUCAGCCUGCUUGAGGACAGAGGGCUGACACAGGACGAGAGCUGAGGGGGCUUCAGUGCUUUACAGACACAGAGAUGAAGAGAUUUCUACGGUGCCAUAAAGUUUUUGAGCUCUUUUAUUUGGAGGUGCAGGUCUUUGGUCAAUCGGGUUGUUGCUAAGUUUGAGAUUGUUGAUUACUUUAGAUGCAUUUGUCUUUGUGAGGUACAUUUUUAAAUUUAUUUCAUAAGAUUUUCCUCUGUACUCCUCUGCAUUCAUAUGAAUGACACUUUUUUUUAAAUACCCUAAUUACUAAUGAAGCAUAUUACUGACUUGUUCAACAUGAUGCCAUUCCAAAGAUCUAAGUGACCUAAGAAUACAAUAAAAACCUACCCAGGGUAUUUUCAUUUUCACUUUAAAUUAUUGCUGUUUGACAUUGUGCUUGGUGUAUUCAAAAGUGUUUGAAAAAACAGAUAAAAGACACGAUUAUUUUGCACAUUAACAACGAGUCACCUCAACAAGCAAGGUUUUUCUUUUUGUAAAUGGUUAUUUCAGCUAUGAAAUACUGUGGCUGUAAAAGAUAUGUUUACUGGCAGUGGUUUGUCUGAGGUGUUUCCAGACUUUUUCUGUCAGCUGUCUUAAAUUCAAAAUUAUGAUUUCCAUGAGAAGCCAGGCUUGGCCGAUAUGCAGCAGGCUCAGGUGAAAUCUGCCUCGAGUAAAUGUGCAGUGUGAUCUACAUGUCCAUAAUGAGGCUGCUUAAUACUGCUAUUGUUCACCAGUAUCAUUUGUAUGAUUUGAUGACAUGAUGCCUAAAUCCAUGUAUGCAGAUUCACAUAAAUUGCUUCACCCAGACUAUAUAGCCAAUUUUCUUGUCCCGUUCCGCCCCCUAAGGCCCCCCACUUUGAAAAAGAAAAAUAAUAAAAUAAAUCUAUCAGUAUGAAAUAUCCUGGAUGUCUCGAAAUGUUCCUGAAAUUUUCAGGGAUGCAUUUGUGUUAAUAGAACAGGUCUUCCCUUUCACUUCACAUUCUCCAUGAAUCAAUCAAUUAAUACCUUUGAUUCAAGGAAAAUGGUAUUCAUAAGGUGGUGUGGAAAGAAACACUUUAUAUGAACUCACCUUUUACAAUGCAUCAUAGACACACACAUAGUUAUCUUUAGACUUUUUCUUGGCACUCAGGUAUAACCCAUUCAAACCAUACCUUUAUAAGGCAUUUUGCUUACUGCUUAUAACACUCCAUAAACAUUGCUGUAAGCUGUUAUGAAUGCUUUUUUAUCACUCAUAAGGAUAAUUAUAAAGCCUUGUAGAGGCAUUAAUAGGGCAUUACAAAUGUGCUUAUGGUGCACUAUAAGAAAAAAAAAUUGCUUUGGAUAAGUUUUACUCAGGCUAUAACUCCCCCUAAAAAUAAAACAAGUUUUUAAUCUGUUUUACUGAGACAUUUUGCAUGCUUCAGCAAAUACCUGGGUCAAUAUCAUUAAUCCUUUCUACUCCCUUUACCUUUAAAAAUUUUAAUUACAGACCCAUAGAUUUUCUGUUUAUUUUGAUCAAAUUCUGAUUCCUAAAAGUCCUUUUUCUUGAGCAGCUAAGCAAAUGCUUCGUUAAUUUUAGUUUUUUUUUUUUUUUUUUAAUCUUUCAGUACACAAAGUGAUGGAACUUUUUAGCUAUUAACAAUAAGUGAGUUUGUCUACAUUUGUAACAGGAUAUCAGGGUAUCAGUGUACAAAUGACCACAGGUUGACUUUCAUUAAGAUCAGGUGUGAAUUUAACCGUAUUAGGUUGAAUAUUAUGUUGUCUUAAUUGAGUUUCUCUUCUUUCACUGCAGCGUUAGCCUCUAGCGACCGAGCUGGUAUCAAUGAAUAGUUCCUCAUGCGGGGGCCAGGUGGCUGCCUGGUGCAUUCAGAUGGUGGCUAAGGUGGUGAGGUGGGGGUUAAUAUUUGCAGGCUGUAGGAAUGUGUUUGGAGUCAGCAGAGAGAAUUCCUCAGUUCUGCAUUAGUAGGUCUCAGCGUUACCUCUUACCUCGACAAACUAUCUCAAUCCCAUCUUGUCUGCCUUGCUCCUGAUGCAUGUCUUCAUCCUCUACGUUGUGUCUGGUGUUUUGAUCCUCAGUGUCUCACCUCCUCUCUUUUUUUUUUUUAAAGAUGUCUCGAAGAAGCCUAAAGAGCUUCAGGAUUUGGGGGUUGGGUAAAAAGCAAGAGAUAAUGAAACUGUGUGAGUGCAAAGAUGUUCCCACACAGUGCUCUGGUAGCUUCGUGUCCUUGCCUGUAUGUCACUCAUGUCUGAUUUAAGGGGCAGGUUCCGAAGCAUGGGCUUUGUUGUUGUCAUCAAGUAUUUUCAUAUGUCAUCUCACCACUUGCGUCAAGUGCAGACCAGGAAAUAGUCACCACUUGUCCACACAAUCACUGUUUUUACACACAUAGAAGAUACAAAAACUAUAAACCAGCAGCAAAAACAAUCCUCCCAAAAUCAUUUUUGAAAUUGGUGUUAAAAGAUUUGUAAAGACAAAAUUAAUCACCUUACAGGGCAAGUGGCCACAGGAACUGGAUCAGAUUUUUUAUAAAGGGUUUCUGAGAAUAGAAAUGGUUGUGUUUUGUUGCUUAUGAGCUCUGCAUUGUCCUCUUUUACAAAAUAUGCACAGUACUUACCAGCUGCAGCCUUACAGGCAACAGGCCCCCCUACCUAGCAUGCUGAAAAUGCUCUUGGUGUGUGUGAAGAGAAAUAUAACCUGAUUUUUUUUUUUUUACUGAACAAUGCCAAUUCUUAAAACUUAUCAUACAGUUUCAAGGAAACAAAGCCUCAUUUAUGUAAGUGGCAUAUUUAAGGAACAUUUUGUGGUAAAACUUUUUUUAGCAAUUCUAAAAAUGUAUUAUAAAAGACAAUAAAACAUUGUCUAAACUGCUUUUAAAUUUCAAAAUUAACAUAAAGUAAGAAUUAAGAGCAUAUGCCAUCAUUGUAAAAUAUAUUACAAUGCCAAGUCUUUAAAUCAGUUGUAAAACUAUAAUAAACUUGGUAUCUUACUGUGAUUUAUGAAAAAUAAGCAAUGGGAAACAACUGUGUUUUUUUAAGUUAUUACAUUAAUAUAUUAAUUCAACAAAGAUUUUAGAUCACCGUAGCCUGAGGCCUUAAAACGUCUUAGAGUACGUAGACCGAGUGGUUAGAAGCAUCGUUGCAUCUCCCCCAGCAACAUAUUGAUGUCAUUCACAAGGCUCUUCAUUACGCUUUGCAGUGAUACACGCACUCUGCAGAGGCGUCGGAGGUGUCGGCUACCCGCAUCACUCAGCGACACCAUGGAGUGUGCCAACUCUCUGGUGCCAGACAGAGAGGAGGAGGAGAGGUGGGCACGGUGUGAAGAUGGAGGGGAAAGACAGAGGAAGGUGUAAAGAAACAGGCCGUCUCUAAUUCAUACAUGUGGACAAAAAAGCAAAGAGAGGACACAUUUGAAGGAAGGAGGAAAAAAGAUAAGGAAGGUAGCAAAGAGGAGGACGCAUUGGUGUUUAUUGUCUGGCAGCUCAGUGAAUCACUAGGAAGAGCGCCUCACGGUUCAAGGUUUCGACAGCUCCUAAGUGAUAAAAAUUAGUCAGCCUGAUGGCAGAAAAUCAACUGGUUGAAGUGAAAGUACAUAAAUAUUAGCUGUCAGUGUAUAAAAUAUCAUCGCAACAAACUUCCCAGGUCAAAGAUUCAGGAGUCACUGGUCGAAGUAAAGCUGCCGGCUGUUCUCUGGUCAGUCUGAGUCGUCAGGGUCACAUCUGUAAGAUGAAAGGAGAGGCUGCGGUUGGUUGCUUCCACAGAGGGAUGGAAAGGUCAGGAAGUGGCCCCAGCACAAACACCAGACUCAUUGUUCAAGUUCAAGGUAACACUGAAUGGGGGUUUCAUUCAGUUAGCUCAGCCGGCCGUCCUUUGACAAGUUGCUGUUUUUAAAAGGGUCUUAAAUGGAGGAAAACAGAGCCAACGGCUACGUCUGACUUUGGUGUCAUGCUGUUAUAAUUGUUAACUAAUUAUGUCGCUUUUAUAUAUUUAAUUAGGGUUUUGGUGUGGAUUGGGGUUUUGAGUAGUUGCCUGUUUGGUUUGCCAUAAGACCUUAUCAAUGUGUGUUUCAGUGUGUGUGUGUGUGUGUGUGUGUGUGUGUGUGUGUCUGUGUGUGUAUGCACGUGGCCAUCGCUCAGGUGUGUCCACUCCCUGACCUCUCAGACAAUGAACAAGGUCACAGUCAGAGGGUCAGAUGUCAGGGCAUCGUUUCCCCCCUCUCCUCCCUCUUACCCUCCCUCUCUGUUGUGUCUGCUCGGUCGUCGGCUCCUCAUUAACUCCUCACAGGGGAUUUCCUGUUCUCCUCCUUUGCCUCCCUGUUCCUGUUCCAAAAUGGAGCAGCAAAUUAGCUCUCUUUACAAAACAUUAAUAAUUCAAUCUUUUGAGCCGAAUAUGCAAACCAACACACCUCCAAGUUGUACUUACAUACGCUUGGAAAGUGAGAAAGGUAGUCAGAGCAUGAUUGGAUUGGCUACUGUGCCAAACCUUUGGGAAGUGUAGGGCUGUAAUUGAUGACUUUGUGCACCAUACAACAAGUACACAUCCACACACACACACAAACACGUGCGCACAAACACAUAAUUCAGAGUCUGACUCACCCCCUGUAACAGAAAGUCAAUAACAAUACAGGAAUGAUUAAUCAGUCCCUCUGUGGCCCCGCCCUCUCCACUCACCACCUUCCACUCGCUCUCCUACACCCUGCUUACCCGCUCUCAGCUUGGUAUUGAUCUGAAUGCAUUUGCCUCCCAUUUAUCCGUUAGCCCUCACUCCCACACCCCCAUCGUAUAAACACUGCCACUGCAUCGAACGGUCACAAAGAACCUUUUGCAGAGUGUCUCCAAUGCACACAAAUAAACACACACACUCACAAGCACACGCACAUGCACUCACAGCAGCAGUGUGCACACCAUCUGAUCUCCGAUAGGUAUAACACUUAACUGCAUCGCACACAGGGAUUUGUUUUGAAUGUUCCAAAGUGCGAAUUUUGCGUGCGGUUGUGUUUGUUUGUUGCGCACGCAUUUCCCUAAACACAAGCUACAUUCUUUAAGGUUUAACUGACAGCUCAUUCGACCCCCCUUGUUUCACUCAUACCCAUUCUGGUUGGUGGCACACAGGUUGCCAUGACACCAGACUGUUUUGUCUGCCCUUUGACCCCUUUAAGGGGUGCUGUGGUCAAUCAGGCAUUACAUGUGAGGGGCAAAUAGGAGGGAGGUGAGGGAGGGGGGUUGCAUUUCCUCUGUAAAAAAUGGGGUCCUAAAGGUUCCCCUCAUACAUCCGCUCUGUACGGAGCAGAAGGUGGGGAGCCUCUGAGCAGUUUGCCGUGAAACAAAGACACAUGUGCACAUGCAGACAUGGCAGCACUGUGCAGGGGUAAAUGAACUAGGCUGGAGCUCCCAGGGGGCGGAGAGUUAUUAUGCUCAUUGUGCAGUCGGCCAGCUAAAGCUGUUGGCUGCUUCUUUUGAAGUUAUAUUUAUCAAAACGGAGCAGGAGGCUUAGCACUCCAAGCUGGUGCUCAGCUUUGUCCACACUGUAGAGCGCAUGUGUGCAUGAUGAUCACUGCCUGAUAUCAAUAUUUGAAGAGCAACUUAAAUGUUUGUCUAAACCGGAAAAAGGAGCAUGAAAGUGAAUUUAUGUUGCAGUGUGUCAUCAGUGGAAUUCUUGGGAAAGACUGAUGAUGAUAUUAAUAACCCAUGACAGAGUCUGGAUCAUCAGGCAGCAAGUGUACACAGUGAACUUGGAGCUGAUUGUGUUUGGAUAAUUUGGCAAAUAUUCUGGCGUGUAUUAAGUCGGCAUACAAGUAAUUAAGCAAGCAAAACAUUAAUGUCAGGCAUGACUUUUAAAUGGAGCAAUUAUGUCUUUCCCUAAAAGUGAAUGAGUCACGUCUCCUAAUAAAAUAUGGACUGACAGUCAAUGUAAGGAUGGAAACUCCCCAUAAACCUAUUUAUUUAUUAUAACCAUAUCUAACCAUUUUAUUUUAAAUAAAUUUUAGUGGAAAGCAAAAGAACAAAAGAGUUGCC
RNAcentral lists this long non-coding RNA (12302 nucleotides) under Xyrichtys novacula (pearly razorfish). The record is from RNAcentral. Lineage: Eukaryota; Metazoa; Chordata; Actinopteri; Labriformes; Labridae.